GAGAUCAAAGAAGUUCGCGCGGGCGACAUCGCGGCUGCUAUCGGCCUGAAAGACGUGACUACCGGUGACACCCUGUGUGAUCCGGAAAACCCGAUCAUUCUGGAACGUAUGGAAUUCCCUGAGCCGGUAAUCUCCAUCGCGGUAGAACCGAAAACCAAAGCUGACCAGGAAAAAAUGGGUCUGGCUCUGGGCCGUCUGGCGAAAGAAGACCCGUCGUUCCGCGUAUGGACUGAUGAAGAAUCUAACCAGACCAUCAUCGCUGGUAUGGGUGAACUUCACCUAGAUAUCAUCGUUGACCGUAUGAAGCGUGAAUUCAACGUUGAAGCGAACGUGGGUAAACCUCAGGUUGCUUACCGCGAAGCGAUUCGCGCGAAAGUUACCGACAUCGAAGGUAAACACGCGAAACAGUCUGGUGGUCGCGGUCAGUAUGGUCAUGUUGUUAUCGACAUGUACCCGCUGGAGCCGGGCUCUAACCCGAAAGGUUACGAGUUCAUCAACGACAUCAAAGGUGGUGUAAUUCCUGGCGAGUACAUCCCGGCCGUUGAUAAAGGCAUCCAGGAGCAGCUGAAAUCUGGCCCGCUGGCGGGUUAUCCGGUAGUUGAUCUCGGUGUGCGUCUGCACUUCGGUUCUUACCAUGACGUUGACUCCUCUGAGCUGGCGUUUAAACUGGCUGCGUCUAUCGCCUUUAAAGAAGGCUUUAAGAAAGCAAAACCAGUUCUGCUUGAGCCGAUCAUGAAGGUUGAAGUAGAAACACCUGAAGAGAAUACCGGUGACGUUAUCGGCGACCUUAGCCGCCGUCGUGGUAUGCUCAAAGGUCAGGAAUCUGAAGUUACAGGCGUUAAGAUCCACGCUGAAGUACCGCUGUCUGAAAUGUUCGGAUAUGCAACUCAGCUGCGUUCUCUGACCAAAGGUCGCGCAUCGUACACUAUGGAAUUCCUGAAGUAUGAUGAUGCGCCGAACAACGUUGCUCAGGCCGUAAUCGAAGCCCGUGGUAAAUAAGCCGCAGGGUUAAAAACCAAAAUCCCGUGCUCUCUCCUGAAGGGGAGAGCGCUAUAGUAAGGAAUAUAGCCGUGUCUAAAGAAAAAUUUGAACGUACAAAACCGCACGUUAACGUCGGCACCAUCGGCCACGUUGACCACGGUAAAACUACCCUGACCGCUGCAAUCACCACCGUACUGGCUAAAACCUACGGCGGUGCUGCUCGUGCAUUCGACCAGAUCGAUAACGCUCCGGAAGAAAAAGCGCGUGGUAUCACCAUCAACACUUCUCACGUUNUAUAACGGUCCUAAGGUAGCGAAAUUCCUUGUCGGGUAAGUUCCGACCUGCACGAAUGGCGUAAUGAUGGCCAGGCUGUCUCCACCCGAGACUCAGUGAAAUUGAACUCGCUGUGAAGAUGCAGUGUACCCGCGGCAAGACGGAAAGACCCCGUGAACCUUUACUAUAGCUUGACACUGAACAUUGAGCCUUGAUGUGUAGGAUAGGUGGGAGGCUUUGAAGUGUGGACGCCAGUCUGCAUGGAGCCGACCUUGAAAUACCACCCUUUAAUGUUUGAUGUUCUAACGUGGACCCGUGAUCCGGGUUGCGGACAGUGUCUGGUGGGUAGUUUGACUGGGGCGGUCUCCUCCUAAAGAGUAACGGAGGAGCACGAAGGUUGGCUAAUCCUGGUCGGACAUCAGGAGGUUAGUGCAAUGGCAUAAGCCAGCUUGACUGCGAGCGUGACGGCGCGAGCAGGUGCGAAAGCAGGUCAUAGUGAUCCGGUGGUUCUGAAUGGAAGGGCCAUCGCUCAACGGAUAAAAGGUACUCCGGGGAUAACAGGCUGAUACCGCCCAAGAGUUCAUAUCGACGGCGGUGUUUGGCACCUCGAUGUCGGCUCAUCACAUCCUGGGGCUGAAGUAGGUCCCAAGGGUAUGGCUGUUCGCCAUUUAAAGUGGUACGCGAGCUGGGUUUAGAACGUCGUGAGACAGUUCGGUCCCUAUCUGCCGUGGGCGCUGGAGAACUGAGGGGGGCUGCUCCUAGUACGAGAGGACCGGAGUGGACGCAUCACUGGUGUUCGGGUUGUCAUGCCAAUGGCACUGCCCGGUAGCUAAAUGCGGAAGAGAUAAGUGCUGAAAGCAUCUAAGCACGAAACUUGCCCCGAGAUGAGUUCUCCCUGAGACUUUAGGUCUCCUGAAGGAACGUUGAAGACGACGACGUUGAUAGGCCGGGUGUGUAAGCGCAGCGAUGCGUUGAGCUAACCGGUACUAAUGAACCGUGAGGCUUAACCUU
RNAcentral lists this ribosomal RNA (2265 nucleotides) under Salmonella enterica subsp. enterica serovar Typhi. Its description in RNAcentral is "bacterial LSU rRNA". The stretch from base 877 to 2265 matches the Rfam family "Bacterial large subunit ribosomal RNA". Lineage: Bacteria; Pseudomonadati; Pseudomonadota; Gammaproteobacteria; Enterobacterales; Enterobacteriaceae. The record is from RNAcentral.